Molecule: long non-coding RNA, 492 nt
Filed under: Ananas comosus (pineapple)
Lineage: Eukaryota; Viridiplantae; Streptophyta; Magnoliopsida; Poales; Bromeliaceae
Description: long non-coding RNA (ACOM_LNC043213)
Source: RNAcentral
GCAUGAAAUCGCACGUGGAAGAGUAUUCGCACGUUUUACUCACACUGUGAGGAACUCGGAUUAAAACAUCUGAGAUUGGUGGACUUUUGCGCAAUUAUGCUAUGUGUAUAUAUAGCAUUCUAGGGUUUUGCACUUGGAACCCUAAUCCUAGCCUUAGCCGCACCCUCCAGCUGACCUAGCCACCUCUACCCCCUCACCUCGUGCGCCGCGCACCCCCGACCACCGCCAACCCAACCUCAGUCGGCCGGCAGCAGCCAUUGCCAUCUCCUUCUUCUUCUUCUCCCUCUCCAUCUUGUCACGCCCCGGGACCCAGCGGAAGCCUGCCCGGCGCGUGCCCAGACCCGCCAUAUGUCUACAACAUAUAAGGCGUCUAAAAACAACAAUAAUAAAAGCAAUAAUACAAGACAUCUAGUAGUAUCAGAGCAUAAUAAAAGUCCAAAUGCUACAACAAGGGAUAAAGUUAAAACUGUAAAUCCACUAAAUAAAACAUAA